RNAcentral lists this long non-coding RNA (2001 nucleotides) under Mus musculus (house mouse). RNAcentral describes it as "long non-coding RNA chr8:123422560-123424561". Lineage: Eukaryota; Metazoa; Chordata; Mammalia; Rodentia; Muridae. The record is from RNAcentral.
GGGGCGGCAACCGCGGCAGCGGCAGCGGUGGUCAGGAUUCAACCCUGUACUGGCUCCAUGUGCCCCCUAGUGGUGGUUUCCCACAACUUCAGAAUGCCCUGUAUCCAGUCAGUCAGAAAGCUUGCCGCCUCCAGAGAGGCUUGCCCAGCGUUCUCCCUCCUCCUCAGGGAGAAGACUAAAACCAAGAGAGACCAACUCUUUAGAGAUCCACAGUAAGUGUACAGAGCUGGGUGAAAGCAGAACUUCUAAACCCAGACGCUCGUCUGCCCACUCCCUUAUGGUCAAGGGUGUUGUCAAAGCUUGAGCCCCUACCCUUUGCUUGGUGGCACCUGAAAGAAUUUGGUGUGCACAGUGCUUUCUCCCAUCCUCUCACCAUGUGGCCAUAGGUGCUGAAGAUGUGCUGACCCUGGCUUCAGACUAGGGCUCUGCCCCUAGCAGGGCACCCUGUCUCCUUUUUUGGCCCUGAUGUAGACUGGGCUGUGGAGUUCAACAUGAAUACUCCUGUGGGUUUGUUGUUGUUGUUUUGGUUUUUUUUUUUUCCUUUGGGGGGGGUUGGUUUUGUUUUUUGGUUUUUUUUUUCGAGACAGGGUUUCUCUGUAUCCUGUAUAACUCAGAAAUCCACCUGCCUCUGCCUCCCAAGUGCUGGGAUUAAAGGCGUGCGCCACCACGCCCGGCAAGGAUACUCCUGUGUUGUCUCAGCUGUGGCUGUGAAACAAACAUCCCUGAAAUUUAGUGACCUGACCUGAAAUCUGGAGUAACAAUCUAUCCCGUGUCAAUAAAGGUUUGGUUUUUGAGACAGGGUCUCUUUACAUAACCCUGGCUGUCCUGGAACUCAUUAUAUAAAUCAGGCUGGCUUUGAACUCACAGAGUUCACUUGGGUGGUGGGAUUAAAGGCUGACAGUGAAGUGACUGUUUUACUUCCUGUGUGUUGGCUGGGAUAACUGUGAGGUCCAGCCUUUCACUCUCGGACUUCGCUGGGAUGGAACCAAACUGUCUCUUCCCUGCAGAGGCCUGUGCGUGGCUACCCAGUCUCUCCAGCCUACGUUGAUUCUCUCCUCCUUGCCCUUUUGUCCUGAUCCUGAGGUGAGUGGCUUUGCUCUGUCGACUUUGCACUCCGUGCCCCAGUGAGAGGGGCAAAGGGCAACAGGUCCACAGGAGCACAAAAGGUACACCUAUCAGGUAUCAGUUACAUCCUGCAAUCCUUGUGAGUGUAUUAAGGGCUUCAUUUGAUGCCAGUAGGUAUUUGGGCGGUCUGCUACAUAGCAUAGUGUACUGGCUGGUUUUUGUGUCAACUUGACACAGCUGGAGUUAUCACAGAGAAAGGAGCCUCCCUUGAGGAAAUGCCUCCACGAGAUCCAGCUGUAAGGCAUUUUCUCAAUUAGUGAUCAAGUGGGGAGGGCCCCUUGUGGCUGGUGCCAUCUCUGGACUGGUGGUCCUGGGUUCUAUAAGAGAGCAAGGUGAGCAAGCCAAGGGAGGCAAGCCAGUAAGUAACAUCCCUCCAUGGCCUCUGCAUCAGCUCCUGCUUCCUGACCUGCUUGAGUUGCAGUCCUGACUUCCUUUGGUGAUGAACAGCAAUGUGGAAGUGUAAGCUGAAUAAACCCUUUCCUCCCCAACUUGCUUCUUGGUCAUGAUGUUUGUGCAGGAAUAGAAACCCUGACUAAGACACAUAGUGUGAGGCGCAGGUGUGGCAGCAGUCCCAAGAAGACGCCAGGGACUGCAGCUAAGUCGUAUGACUUGCACCUGACUUCCUCAUAUAAGCCACAAACAUCUUGAGAGCUGCGCGUGUGUACCAUGAAUCCAUUUUGAUGGAGAUAUGUCCCUGCUGCCCUGAUUAGCUGAAGCUUCGUGCCUGGUGAGGUGGCGUGGCCUGCUGUGCGUGGAUGGGAACUGAGAGUAUAAAAGUGAGAGGCCCAGGGUUCGGGGGAGAUAUAAACAAGGGAGAUAUAAACAAGGGAGAUAUAGAGAAAGAAGAAACAGGACUGAAUAAACGUGUGCAGAAGG